RNAcentral lists this ribosomal RNA (569 nucleotides) under Alternaria tenuissima. Its description in RNAcentral is "eukaryotic LSU rRNA". The stretch from base 214 to 367 matches the Rfam family "5.8S ribosomal RNA". The record is from RNAcentral. Lineage: Eukaryota; Fungi; Ascomycota; Dothideomycetes; Pleosporales; Pleosporaceae.
AAAAGUCGUAACAAGGUCUCCGUAGGUGAACCUGCGGAGGGAUCAUUACACAAAUAUGAAGGCGGGCUGGAACCUCUCGGGGUUACAGCCUUGCUGAAUUAUUCACCCUUGUCUUUUGCGUACUUCUUGUUUCCUUGGUGGGUUCGCCCACCACUAGGACAAACAUAAACCUUUUGUAAUUGCAAUCAGCGUCAGUAACAAAUUAAUAAUUACAACUUUCAACAACGGAUCUCUUGGUUCUGGCAUCGAUGAAGAACGCAGCGAAAUGCGAUAAGUAGUGUGAAUUGCAGAAUUCAGUGAAUCAUCGAAUCUUUGAACGCACAUUGCGCCCUUUGGUAUUCCAAAGGGCAUGCCUGUUCGAGCGUCAUUUGUACCCUCAAGCUUUGCUUGGUGUUGGGCGUCUUGUCUCUAGCUUUGCUGGAGACUCGCCUUAAAGUAAUUGGCAGCCGGCCUACUGGUUUCGGAGCGCAGCACAAGUCGCACUCUCUAUCAGCAAAGGUCUAGCAUCCAUUAAGCCUUUUUUUCAACUUUUGACCUCGGAUCAGGUAGGGAUACCCGCUGAACUUAAG